GGAGCCAGCCACCAGGUCAGACAUGCAGAAUCUUUCCCGGACAUUCCAUGAUGACUGAAGUGAUGACAUUUGUAAUGAAAGGAUGGUAUCAGCCUGGAAUUCCUGCUGUCAGGAUAAAUAGAAAAUCCUUUGCUAUUUGAUUGUCAAGGAUGAAAUUAAUAGCUCCCCAUAAAUGUGGAAUAAAAUGAUCUGUUUAUUCUAGGGA
Myodes glareolus (Bank vole) is the source of this 205-nucleotide non-coding RNA. Lineage: Eukaryota; Metazoa; Chordata; Mammalia; Rodentia; Cricetidae. The record is from RefSeq and is a predicted model, not a curated record.